GCGCCGCUGGUGUAGUGGUAUCAUG
RNAcentral lists this non-coding RNA (25 nucleotides) under Xenopus tropicalis (tropical clawed frog). The record is from RNAcentral. Lineage: Eukaryota; Metazoa; Chordata; Amphibia; Anura; Pipidae. RNAcentral also lists the same sequence under 6 other names.